GUUGUGAAUGAACGAACAAAACUUCUAGUUCAGGCGGCAUCGCUGAUAGUUGCGGUUCAUGCCUAGAUCCUAUUGGUCCAUAAGAGAGAUGUAAGUUGGAAUGAGAAACCUCUCAUCCGGUACGGUCUAAUGUUAAUCCGGGAUCAGGAGAGGAUAGCAAAUCUGAACUACAUCCACAACUGCAACGACACAGAGGCUCUGUGGAUGCUUCAAAUGAAAAGAGUGCCUUUCGCUAGGCUUGUGCAGACGUUCAGGAGCAGAGGGCUGCGAGAAGAUAGCAUCCACACCACCAUGGAAGAGCAAGUAGCAAUGUUCCUCCAUGUUGUUGGUCAUAACCAGAGGUUCAGGGUUGUAAACAACACCUUCAGGAGAUCAAUGGAGACCUCCAGGUACUUUAAGCAAGUGAUGCAUGAUGUUGGGGAGCACAGAGGAGAGAUGAUCAGGUCACCAACCAGCGAGACUCCUACCAAGAUUCGCACUAGCUCAAGAUGGUCGCCAUACUUCAAGGUGAGCAUUGACAAUAUCUAG
Molecule: ribosomal RNA, 528 nt
Filed under: Triticum aestivum (bread wheat)
Lineage: Eukaryota; Viridiplantae; Streptophyta; Magnoliopsida; Poales; Poaceae
Description: partial small subunit ribosomal RNA
Source: RNAcentral